GAUGGGGCUGACGUUCUUGCCGAUGCUGCGGAAGUUCUGCCCCACGCCCUGCCUGCCGGCGUUGACCUUCUCCGGGUAGACGCCGUCCUUGGGGUGGAGGUACUGGACCUCGCCGUUGGGGAAGACGCGGUAGAACUGGUAGUUGAUCUUGUACUUGGAGCGCAGCCUGGUGCCGAGCGCCAGGCACUGCUCCUUGCGCGCCAGCUUCAGGAGGUUGGGCCCCUCCCGCAUGAUGGCGGCGCCGCCCGUCGGCAUCUCGAACACCUGCUCCUUGGGGGACGUCCACGUGAUCACGUAGAACUCCUCCACCUGCGCCUUCCGGAGCAGCCCGCCCGUGCUGCCGCCGAAGAUCGGGGACGGGGUGUUGGGGUCAAGCUGCGGGGGCACGAACCCCUUGGGCGCCUCCUGGGUCGCCGCCGCGGGGGCCUCCUCGGCGGCCGCGCGGAGCGGGGCCGGCCCGCGGGAGGACGACGGGAGCGCGAGCUGCGAGGACCGCGGCGCCUUCGCCGCUGGCGACCAGGCCGCGGCCAAGAGGUGGCGCGUCGCGGCGGAGGCUUGCGUGGCCAUGGCCAUCGUCGGCUUGAUUCUCGGACGAGCUGGUGCGGCUUCUUGGAGCGAAGCUAAGAGCAAGAUGGCGAGGAGAGAUGAGGAGUGGAGGGCGCGGCGCAGGCACGCAGCUAAGAGGUGAUGCUCUGCUUUGGUUGGAGACCACGGGUGGCGAAGUGGAUAAGGGGAUAUGAGGCCGGCCAAUGGGGAGUCCGGAUUUUGAUACGUCCUGAAACCGGGCAUCCACACAUGUCACGUCGGCUGCCACACGUAGCCGCUCUGGGUGUUGAAAGUUGCAGAUAUCAGAAUCUGAUCAGCGUCACUGGGAAGUCUGGGAGGAAAUUAAAGGUUAGAUGACGUAGGUAUAUGCAUGUACUACAAAAUCUAGCCUGUACAGUAUAUUCUUUUGAUGCGACUAUGCAAGAACCAUCACUUGUAACUGAACACAGAGCUUAUGUUAUUCUUCUGAUGAGUUGAUCAGUAUUCCUUCGGAAAAAAAAAUGAGCUGAUCAGCAGUUGAGCACUUCUUCAGUUCUUUGCAGGGGUAACAUGAGAGUGAGAUUUUUUUUUUGAUAGGGGGGUAACUGAGGGAUGAUAAGGUAAGCCCUUGACUCCGGAGUAUAUUAGUAUAACUAUAAAAAAUCGAACAGGCGCGUGACACAAAAAGCGUGCAGUUUCUUAGCAGCAACGGUAAUUACUGGAUUGGGCCGGCCCAAACGAGAGAGUUCUAUCCGCUCGACAGAAUCCACCGGCCCACGAAGACGUCCACGCAUAUGACAAGUAUGCUUGGGUUUUUUUUUUCAUAUUUAUUAGAAGCACUUUUACUCCCUUCACAAAUCAAAUUCCUUCCCCUUCAUCUUCCUCGCAAAAUAACAACUAUCAAGCAUAUUCCACACUUCUACAGUUCUACUGCAUACAACCACGGACUCACGGAGUUAGAUUUUGUUUCGUUGUGUUUUCCUAUUUUUUUGCGAUUGCAAUAUAUUCUGCAUGUCCAUAAAGACGAAGAGGGACGGGGAAAAUGCAAUUCGUGCUGCCAUUACAAUUUACAAGCCUCUUUUAUCUAGUGGUACUUUACCGUACGUGUCUUAUUCAUGCAUACCACACUUGCAAGGUUAAAAGUAGACAUAUUGAUGGAGUUUCUUGUCGUCUCUAAAAGAAUCACAUUUCACAACUGCACAAUAAGCACUUCCGUAUAAUCCUCCUGAAAAUCGAUCAAAAUAAACGCCGGGGCAAUUUAUAAUAUCCUAUGGUAAAACCUAGUGAAUGCAAGCAAAACCAGGAACCGUUUGUAAAUGGAUCCAGUUACUCGGCCUCGUUGGCUGCCAACCUUCCAAUUCUGCUGUGGCACGGCCGUGCCGCCGUCUCCCCCGGCCAGCCGAGCCAGCCACCGCCGCCGUCCCGAGUGCACCUGCGGUGCCGCCACCAGCGAGGCCUCCCCAUCUUCUUCCUCGCCGCGCCGCUCCGUGCCUCCGUCAGCCCGAACGCGGCUCCCCAUCGGCGCGCAAGUGUGUCCGGCCUAGACACGUCAUCACAUUUUCCGCGCCAUCUGAUCGGGAUCAGUUUUAGGAAAGGAACCCCGACAUGCUUGACAGGAAAUAGCAAUAGCACGGCCACGGGCAAGGCAACCAAGUUCUAGUGGCCCUUUUUGCCGGGCAUGACUACCUGAAGGCGAUAAAUCUGCGACCAUCGCCUCAAGAAACGCAUCCUCGAUGAGUUGCAUGUCGGCCCAAUUAAUUAGACUGCUUCAAUGUGGCGCCCCUUGUUUCAAAGAGAGGAGGACGGGUUAUUCACAUUUAAUUUGAUGGUCAGAGGCGAAUUGAAAGCUAAGCAGUGGUAAUUAAGACCCCCGGGUGAAAAUAGGGAUGUCUCCUACGUUACCCAUAAUAUGUGGAAGUAUCGACGUAAUUUCAUAGAGUCAUUCGAUCUGAAUGCUACAUGAAGAACAUAAGCCAGAUGACGGAACGCGGAGACCUAGGAUGUAGAAGAUCAUAACAUGAGCGAUUCGGCAGAUUUGGAUUCCUUUUCUAUAUAUCCACUCAUGUGGUACUUCAUCAUACGAUUCAUAUAAGAUCCAUCUGUCUAGAGAUCGUCAUAUACAUCUAGAAAGCCGUAUGCUUUGGAAGAAGCUUGUACAGUUUGGGAAGGGGUUUUUUGAGAAAAAAGAAGAAUCUACUUCAACCGAUAUGCCCUUAGGCACGGCCAUACAUAACAUAGAAAUCACACGUGGAAGGGGUGGGCAAUUAGCUAGAGCAGCAGGUGCUGUAGCGAAACUGAUUGCAAAAGAGGGUAAAUUGGCCACUUUAAGAUUACCAUCUGGGGAGGUCCGUUUGGUAUCCCAAAACUGCUUAGCAACAGUCGGACAAGUGGGUAAUGUUGGGGUGAACCAAAAAAGUUUGGGUAGAGCCGGAUCUAAGUGUUGGCUAGGUAAACGCCCCGUAGUAAGAGGGGUAGUUAUGAACCCUGUGGACCACCCCUUUCUUUUACCUAUUUCUCUGGGCAAUCUCUUAUUAACAACUUCUUUCCAACUAGUUUCACUAUAAAUAAGAUAAUACAAUAACAGUAAGAAUAUUUUCAACACAAAAGUUCUCUCAAACAAGAGAAAGAAACAUACCUUUUUCAUACAUAUUUAGAAUAUGUUCCCUAUGCUAACUGGGUUCAUUAGUUAUGGUCAACAAACAAUACGCGCCGCAAGAUACAUUGGUCAAGGUUUCAUAAUUACCUUAUCCCACGGUAAUUAUGAAACUAAAAUACCCUAUAGGGCUAAGCGGAACGAAAAGGGUUUUCCAUAAGAUGGUAAAUGAAAACGAUUAGCCCCACACGAGGUUUGGGAAUAAGUGAUUGUCUGAUAAUGAGCAAGGAAUAUACGUCUUUCUGCUAAAGAGCAUCUAUUAAACUCAUAAUUCAUUAGAUCCUUGUUAGCAAUGUCAACUAGGUAUCAUAAGUAAAUGGAUCCCGGUUGUUCAAUCCUUUGAUAACCAAGGUCAUUCUUUGCUAAAGAGAAAUGAUCACUAUGGGUCAGACUCAAUAGAAUUGGAUCCAUUCCAAAUAGCGAGAAUUAGGAUUCUUGAUCCCUCUCAAUCUCUCUUUCAAUUCGAGGAUCCAGAGAGGUGUUUUCAUAGUCAUCUCCGAAUAUUUGCCAUCUCCGAAUAUUUGCCAUCUCCGAAUAUUUUCGAUUUCAUUUUUCUAUGAUAUGUCUUUCUAUAUGAAAAUUGGUUAUUUACGAUGUACGAUGAUCCCUGUUAAGCAUCCAUGGCUGAAUGGUUAAAGCGCCCAACUCAUAAUUGGUAAAUUUGCGGGUUCAAUUCCUGCUGGAUGCACGCGAACGGGAACGUUCCAUAAGUCUAUUGGAACUGGCUCUCUAUCUAUGGAAUCUCAUCCAUCAUCCAUACAUAACGAAUUGGUAUGGUAUAUUCAUACCAUAACAUAAGAACAAUAAGAACUCGAAUUCUUAUCGAUACUGGAACUCAGAGCAUAGGAGGGAAAGUCGAUUUAUGGAUGGAAUCAAAUACGCAGUAUUUACAGAAAAGAGUCUUCGUUUAUUGGGAAAGAAUCAAUAUACUUCUAAUGUCGAAUCGGGAUUCACUAAGACAGAAAUAAAGCAUUGGGUCGAACUCUUCUUUGGUGUUAAGGUAGUAGCUGUGAAUAGCCAUCGACUACCCGGAAAGGGUAGAAGAAUGGGACCUAUUCUGGGACAUACAAUGCAUUACAGACGUAUGAUCAUUACCCUUCAACCGGGUUAUUCUAUUCCACUUCUAGAUAGAGAAACGAACUAAAGGAGAAUACUUAAUAAUACGGCGAAACAUUUAUACAAAACACCUAUCCCGAGCACACGCAAGGGAACCGUAGACAGGCAAGUGAAAUCCAAUCCACGAAAUAAAUUGAUCCAUGGACGGCACCGUUGUGGUAAAGGUCGUAAUGCCAGAGGAAUCAUUACCGCAAGGCAUAGAGGGGGGGGUCAUAAGCGCCUAUACCGUAAAAUCGAUUUUCGACGGAAUCAAAAAGACAUAUCUGGUAGAAUCGUAACCAUAGAAUACGACCCUAAUCGAAAUGCAUACAUUUGUCUCAUACACUAUGGGGAUGGUGAGAAGAGAUAUAUUUUACAUCCCAGAGGGGCUAUAAUUGGAGAUACUAUUGUUUCUGGUACAAAAGUUCCUAUAUCAAUGGGAAAUGCCCUACCUUUGAGUGCGGUUUGAACUAUUGAUUUACAACCCAAAAUCACCAUUCCUUUUGGUUCGCACAACCAAAAAAUUAUUCUGAAGGUCUACAGGAAGAUAAAAAAAUACGGAAUUGUAUCAAGAACUAUAUACAACAGAAUAGGAAAAAGGCUCGAAUAGAAAAAUAGAAUCAGACUCAAGUUCUGAAGUAAUUACACAUAUAGAAAUCAAAAGAAAUUGAUACAAUCCACCGUCAUAAUCCAUAUUGGAUUCCCCAAUUUAUUAAAGAAAAGGGAGCAAUCGAAGAAUUAGAGAAAGAUCUCCAAAAGGAAGUUAAUUCUGUAAACCAGAGACUUAAUAUUGCUAUCGAAAAGGUUAAAGAACCUUAUAGACAACCUAAUAUUCUUGCAGAAUAUAUAGCUUUCCAAUUAAAAAAUAGAGUUUCAUUCCGAAAAGCAAUGAAAAAAGCCAUUGAAUUAACUAAAAAAGCAGACAUAAAGGGAGUAAAAAUCAAAAUUGCGGGUCGUCUAGCAGGGAAAGAAAUUGCACGUGCCGAAUGCAUCAAAAAGGGCAGACUGCCCCUACAAACAAUUCGCGCUAAAAUUGAUUAUUGCUGCUAUCCAAUUCGAACUAUCUAUGGAGUAUUAGGUGUAAAAAUUUGGAUAUUCGUAGAAGAAGAAUAACUAACCCAGUCUUCCCAUUCUGCUCGUUGAUAGAAUAAGACAAGAACUUCUUUUUCCCAAAAUCCCUAAAAAAAGAAGAAAUUAUAUCUCUUUCUAUAAGAUUUAAUGAAAAUUGAUAAAUCUUUUAAUAUAAUUGCUAUGCUUAGUGUGUGACUCGUUAGUUUUUUCUUUAGGGUCAAAAAUGAGGAUUUAUAAAAAAAAAUGGGCUGAACCCUACUAAAAAUAGAAAAAAACUUAGUAAUUCUAGAAAAUUAACUAAUAACCAACCUAUUGCUUCGUAUUGUCGAGAUCCUAACUAAGAACCAGUCACUAUGUGAAUAAAUACAUCUAUAAAAAAUGAGUAGAUCUAUCAUAUAGUUGUAGCAACUGCAUUUUUUUCUCUACAAAAGAAACCUGAUUUUAGGCUGUGAAGCAAAACUAAAGGGAUGUGGAUAAAAGGAGGGAUGAUAGAUAGAAGGAAGAAGAAUAAGAAAGAUAUAGGAUUCCAAUGUGUAUGGUCUAUGAAUUACAUCAUAAAAAAAAAGCAAUGUGAUAAAGCAUCAAUAUAAUAAAAUAAUAAAAAAAGAGAGAAUUCGAAAUCGUAACUUUUGAAAUAACAAAUCAAAAUUUAAAGAAAUAAAAAAGAGCAGCCCGCGUUAAUAAAACUGAGAAAAUUGACUCGGAAAGAAAUUUUUUGGAAGCUCCAUUGCAGGAUUCAAACCUAACCAUUAAAGGAGAAGCAGUGGGAACGAGAAAACCUAUGACGGCAUCGGAUUUUAUUGAAAAGAAUCCUAACACUUCAUUGGGUGGGAUGGCGGAACAAACCAAAAAAGUGGCUUUAUUUGAUAAGAUUCUAAAUUAACAAAUAAGACAGGAAAGAGUAAAUAUUCGCCCGCGAAAUCCUUAUUGGAUUAGAAUACUUUACCACGAUUCAAUAAGAAUAAAAAUAAGGAGAUUCCAAAAUAUUAUGGAAUUAGAGAAAUUCGCACGCUUUCUCAUUUAAUUCGCGAGGAGCUGGAUGAGAAGAAACUCUCAUGUCCAGUUUUGCAGUAGAGAUGGAACUAAGAAAGAACCGUCGACUAUAACCCCAAAAGAACUAGAUUUCGUAAACAACAUAGAGGAAGAAUGAAGGGAAAAUCCUGCCGAGGCAAUCGUAUUUGUUUUGGUAGAUAUGCUCUUCAAGUACUUGAACCCGCUUGGAUCACCGCAAGACAGAUAGAAGCAGGACGAAGAGCAAUGACACGAUAUGCACGUCGUGGUGGAAAAAUAUGGGUGCGUAUAUUUCCCGACAAACCGGUUACAAUGAGACCCACAGAAACACGUAUGGGCUCGGGAAAGGGAUCCCCCGAAUAUUGGGUAGCCGUUGUUAAACCAGGUAGAAUACUUUAUGAAAUGAGCGGAGUAUCCGAAACUGUAGCUAGAGCAGCUAUCUCUAUAGCUGCCAGUAAAAUGCCCAUACGAAGUCAAUUUCUUCGAUUAGAGAUAUAGAACCCCAAAAAGGAGUAUUUAAGAUAAAAAACCCCAGGUUUUUCUUUCUAGAAAGACAAUAUUUCUUUCAUCCUUUUGCAUUGAAAUAACAAAUUGAAAUCAAAAUAAUAUGAUUCAACCUCAGACCCUUUUAAAUGUAGCAGAUAACAGUGGAGCUAGAAAAUUGAUGUGUAUUCGAGUCAUAGGAGCCGCUGGUAAUCAGCGAUAUGCUCGUAUUGGUGAUGUUAUUGUUGCUGUAAUCAAAGACGCAGUGCCCCAAAUGCCUCUAGAAAGAUCCGAAGUAAUUCGAGCUGUAAUUGUACGUACAUGUAAAGAAUUCAAAUGCGAAGAUGGUAUAAUAAUACGCUAUGAUGACAAUGCAGCAGUUAUCAUUGAUCAAAAAGGAAAUCCAAAAGGAACUCGAGUUUUUGGCGCGAUUGCCGAAGAAUUGAGAGAAUUGAAUUUUACUAAAAUAGUUUCAUUAGCUCCUGAAGUAUUAUAAACACUAGUAGACGAGAUAUAGAUCAAAGAAAAAAUUAGUAGAUUGUGUCUCACGUAUAUGCUUUAAAAUCUAAAAUUAAAAGAAAAAGGAAAACAUGUUGAUUAUAGAAAAAUUAGGAGGAACCUAGAAUUAGAGUCUUAUGGGCAAGGACACUAUUGCUGAUUUACUAACCUCUAUAAGAAACGCAGACAUGAAUAAAAAAGGAACUGUUCGAGUAGUAUCCACAAAUAUUACCGAAAACAUUGUUAAAAUACUUCUACGAGAGGGUUUUAUUGAAAGUGUUCGGAAACAUCAGGAAAGUAACAGAUAUUUCUUGGUUUCAACUUUGCGACAUCAAAAGAGAAAGACUAGAAAGGGAAUAUAUAGAACUAGAACCUCUUUAAAGCGUAUCAGCCGACCUGGCUUACGAAUUUAUGUCAACUAUCAAGGAAUUCCUAAGGUUUUGGGCGGAAUGGGAAUUGCUAUUCUUUCUACCUCUCGAGGUAUAAUGACAGAUCGAGAAGCUCGACUAAACAGAAUUGGGGGAGAAGUCUUAUGUUAUAUAUGGUAAUGGCCCCACCUAUAGUACCCGAAUUCUAUCUCGAACUUCCUAUUUUGAAAAUAAAAAUUGAAAAAUAGGAGAAAAAAAAAUAUGACAGAAAAAAAAAAACCGAGAGAAGCAAAAGUCACUUUCGAAGGUUUAGUUACGGAAGCCCUACCCAACGGAAUGUUCCGCGUUCGCCUAGAGAAUGACACCAUCAUCCUGGGCUAUAUUUCAGGAAAGAUCCGGUCUAGCUCUAUACGAAUACUGAUGGGGGAUAGGGUCAAAAUUGAAGUAAGUCGUUAUGACUCCAGCAAGGGGCGUAUAAUUUAUAGACUUCCCCAUAAGGAUUCGAAGCGUACCGAAGACUCGAAGGAUACUGAAGAUUUGAAGGAUACCAAAGAUUCAAAGGAUUAGGUUUUUCUAGGGUAAUAACUUCCAAGUUUCAAAAUUUAAGUGAAGAGACUCAUUUUUUCCAAAAGAAUAGAUUCAUAGUUUAAGAAAGGAAUACCUAUAUAUGAAAAUAAGAGCUUCCGUUCGUAAAAUUUGUACAAAAUGUCGACUGAUUCGCAGGCGUGGACGAAUUAGAGUCAUUUGUUCCAAUCCGAAGCAUAAACAAAGACAGGGGUAAUCUUUCGAAAAAGGAGCUUUUCUUUCUAAAAAGUAAAAAAAAAGUACCUACGGAAAUGUCCAAAUUCCAAAUAAAAAAAUGAGAGUAAAGGAUAUAUUUUACCCUGAAACGGAUAUCUUUGUAUCUUUUUUUCUUUUUGUUAUUUCUAACUCAUAUUUAUGAGAUAAUAAAAUAUGACAAAAGCUAUACCAAAAAUAGGUUCACGUAAGAAAGUGCGUAUUGGUUUGCGUAGGAAUGCCCGUUUUAGUUUACGGAAGAGUGCACGUAGAAUAACAAAAGGGGUUAUUCAUGUUCAAGCCAGUUUCAACAAUACCAUUAUAACCGUUACAGACCCACAAGGUCGGGUGGUUUUCUGGUCCUCUGCAGGUACUUGUGGAUUCAAAAGCUCACGAAAAGCAUCACCCUAUGCUGGUCAAAGAACAGCAGUAGAUGCUAUUCGUACAGUGGGUUUGCAACGAGCAGAAGUUAUGGUAAAAGGUGCUGGUAGCGGAAGAGACGCCGCAUUACGAGCCAUUGCUAAAAGUGGUGUACGGUUAAGUUGUAUACGCGAUGUAACACCUAUGCCGCAUAAUGGAUGUCGACCUCCUAAAAAAAGACGUCUGUAAAAGAAUUAAACCGCUUUCAAGAGAAAUAAACGAUUCAAUGAUCAAAUAAUAAUACUAGUCCGUUAUGGUUCGAGAGGAGGUAACAGGAUCCACCCAAACACUAGAGUGGAAGUGUGUUGAAUCAAGAGUAGAUAGUAAGCGUCUUUAUUAUGGUCGUUUCAUUCUGUCCCCGCUUAGAAAAGGUCAAGCGGAUACUGUCGGUAUUGCCUUGCGAAGAGCUUUACUUGGAGAAAUAGAAGGAACGUGUAUCACACGCGCCAAAUUUGGGAAUGUGCCACACGAAUAUUCUACAAUAGUAGGUAUUGAAGAAUCCAUACAAGAAAUUUUACUAAAUUUGAAAGAAAUUGUAUUGAGAAGUAAUCUCUAUGGAGUUAGAGACGCAUCAAUUUGCGUCAAAGGUCCUAGAUACAUAACCGCUCAAGAUAUAAUCUUACCGCCUUCCGUAGAAAUCGUUGAUACGACACAACCUAUAGCUAACUUGAGAGAGCCGAUUGAUUUCUAUAUUGAGUUACAGAUCAAGAGAGAUCGCGGAUAUCAUACGGAACUCAGAAAGAACUCUCAAGAUGGAAGUUAUCCUAUAGAUGCUGUAUCCAUGCCUGUUCGAAAUGUGAAUUAUAGUAUUUUUUCUUGUGGGAAUGGAAAUGAAAAACAUGAGAUACUUUUUCUAGAAAUAUGGACGAAUGGAAGUUUAACUCCUAAAGAAGCGCUUUAUGAAGCUUCUCGUAAUUUGAUUGAUUUAUUUCUUCCUUUUCUACACGCAGAGGAAGAGGGCACUAGUUUCGAAGAAAAUAAAAACAGAUUUACUCCACCCCUUUUAACCUUUCAAAAAAGAUUCACUAAUCUAAAGAAAAACAAAAAAGGAAUUCCAUUGAAUUGUAUUUUUAUUGAUCAAUUAGAAUUGCCUUCUAGAACGUAUAAUUGUCUCAAAAGGGCCAAUAUACAUACACUAUUGGACCUUUUGAGUAAGACUGAAGAGGAUCUUAUGCGAAUUGAAAGUUUUCGUAUGGAAGAUGGAAAACUUAUAUGGGACACUCUCGAGAAGCAUCUCCCAAUUGAUUUACUUAAGAACAAGUUCUCGCUUUAAAUCCAUUGCAAUUUUUUCCUCUUUUUCUUUUUUUUUGAAUUAGAAUAAAAAGAAAAAAAAGCAAUUUUGCAUCUUUGGCACAAUCUAUAUUUUCGCGAAAUGGAUCAUAAUAAAAUGGAUUUUAGGUAUCUAGGGAAGAUUCACUUGGAAGUAACUAUUUCCUAGAUACCCAUGCAGGGGGCUUCGCGGUUGAAUGAAUCAACUCGAAAAAUCCCUAAAAAAGACCUAAAGUUAAGGAUUUAUCAAUGGGUAAUGUUGCUCCAAUACCUAACCAAAGAGCUACUGCAGUACCGAGUAAAAAAACGGUCGUAGCUACUGGGCGACGAAAUGGAUUUUGGAAUUUAUUGACAUUCUCUAGAAAGGGUACUGUCAAUAAGCCCGUUGGCACAGAAACCAUUAAGAGAACGCCCAAUAACUUAUUGGGUACUGUACGGAGUAUUUGAAAUACGGGAAAGAAGUACCACUCGGGUAAUAUUUCCAGAGGAGUUGCAAACGGAUCCGCCGGUUCACCAAUCAUUGACGGCUCGAGAACCGCUAAACCUACAUUACACGCAAUAGUACCUAGAAUUACUACUGGAAAAAUGUAUAAAAGAUCGUUGGGCCACGCGGGUUCCCCGUAAUAAUUAUGUCCCAUCCCUUUAGCUAAUUUUGCUCUUAAUACAGGAUCAUUUAAGUCAGGUUUCUUUGUUAUUGGGAUAGGUGAAUUCUUUAGGAUCCAUCCCCCAAAGGAACCGGACAUGAGAAUUUUUCAUCAUCCGGCUCGAGCAAGAAUGAAAGAAAUAAGACCGUGGAGAAUCCACAAUAGAAUAGGGUAUAUAAUGACUCAAUGACUCAAGGCAAGAAAAGCUUUAUCAGAUUAUCUUUUCCGAAGUUGCGCCUAUAACUACUCAUUGAAAAGAAUCCUAUUCUUAUGCGUAAAUGCUCAAUAUCCAAGUGGGCUUACAAAUUUGAUCAUGAUCAAUUGCUUUGUGGAUUGUCUCUUGAUUAGUUGGUGUUUAUCCCCUCAAUAUCGCAAGUUUCUUACAUCCAAACAAAGUAUUUACUUGUUACUAAUAAAAAAUCAAAAAGUUUAGCCUACGUUCUUCCUUAGAUCCCUUCUUUUACUCCGAUAGUAUUGCGGAUCGAAAUCGAUGCAAAGAAAAUGAAUGCAUUUCCAUACUAUAAUAAAAAGUAUGUGUAAUAAAUAUAGAAUUGGAUCAUAUCACAUGACUUAUUCCAUUUAUACUCUAUGGGAUCUUACGGAGCCUGCUCAUGGAUGACAUGGUUGGGGUAUGAUCAUAGAAAAUAUUCUCCUCGAGUGAACCAGCCUAUCCUUCCUAGAUAGGGGACUUACGUGUUGAUUGGAUGCGGAGACACCUUUGGUCGUGAAUUCUAAUGUGGCAGAUCCAAUUCUCUAUCUGCAUGGCCAAAUUAAUAAUUCAAGUCACACACUCCCAUAAUCCGCCUUAUUUUCUUUCGUAAAAUUAACUUCAACUAUAACUAUUUGUAUCAAAAUAGUUCGAAGUUGAAGAGAAGUAUCCAAAUGACAUGUCUUAUUGUAAAAUAAGAUAUGUUUGUAGCAAUGAAAUACCACAACCUACCCUAUAUGAUAUAUGAGAAUUAGAAUUCUCUAUGAUAUGCUUUCCCUAUAAAGGACCCGAAAUACCUUGCUUACGUAUCAUUGGAAAGUGCAUUAACAUAAAUACGGCAGUAAGCAGAGGUAGUACAAAGGUAUGUAAACUAUAAAAACGAGUCAAAGUGGAUUGGCCCACACUAGCACUUCCACGUAAUAAUUCCACUAAAGGGGAUCCUAUUACUGGAAUCGCGUCAGGUACACCUGUCACAAUUUUGACUGCCCAAUAACCAAUUUGAUCCCAAGGCAAAGAAUAACCAGUUACACCAAAUGAUGCAGUCAAUACAGCCAAAACCACACCUGUGACCCAAGUUAAUUCACGGGGUUUUUUAAAUCCACCUGUGAGAUACACACGAAAUACGUGCAGGAUCAUCAUUAGAACCAUCAUACUUGCUGACCAUCGAUGAACUGAUCGGAUUAACCAACCAAAGUUGGCCUCCGUCAUUAUAUAUUGAACGGAGGAAAAAGCCUCUGUAACGGUUGGUCGGUAGUAAAAAGUCAUAGCAAAACCGGUAGCGACUUGUACUAGAAAACAAGUAAGUGUAAUUCCCCCUAAACAAUAAAAUAUGUUUACAUGAGGAGGAACAUAUUUACUAGUUAUAUCAUCAGCAAUUGCCUGAAUCUCAAGACGUUCCUCAAACCAAUCAUAUACUUUAUUGAGAUAGGUAACUAGCCCGAUUCCCCCUCCGAGAACCGUAUAUGAAAAUUUCAUCUCGUACGGCUCAAGCAGAAACACACAAAUUUUCAACGGAUAUUAGAAAAAAAAGUUCAAAACUUCACCAGCCACGGUAUUCGAUCGAUUUGCCUUGAAGAUAUGAAAUAAGAAAAAUCCAGAAUUUCUUCUUUGUGAUGAUAAUGCCAAAAAAUCUCAAGUUGGCUCAUCUGUCUUUCUUUCCCGUAUGUUGAUCAUUAGAGGCCUCUUGACUUUUCUCUUCCCUAUUUUUUAUUUAUUUGAUUUUUUUACUUGUAAAAAAAUCAAAUAAAAAUUUAUAGUGGUUUUCUGAUAGAAAUUUUCUUGUUGCGAUCCUAUGAAUCAGUUCAAUUAAAACCUUAGAUUCAUACUAGAGCCACGAUGAUUGAGUCUCAAGCUAAACAAAAGGCAAGGGUUCUUCGAAUAAAAACCGCUUGAUGAUCAUUUAUUGAAAGAGAAAAAAAUUGUCUUUUGGGCAAACAAAAUUGGAAGGAAGAAAAUUUCUUUUUUUAUUAAGAACUACUUGAAUUUUUUUUUUCAGUCUGGUUGCGAGGUCUAAAUAGUGAGUAUGAAUCAUAGUUCCAUUUUUUUUCUUGAUCCACUCUAUGUAUUUCGUGUUCCAGAUACUAGAAUAAAUAAUAUCCGACGAAUUAGAAUCAUCUUGAUAGAGAUAACAGGCCCUUUCUAUGUAUUAUCAAUAGGAUCAAUUCUAACAAGUCACACACUCAUAUUCCAGAGAUACCGAAACAAAAAAAUCCACGGUCGAACUACCAGAAUGUCUAGAAAUGUGAAGCUUAAAGUAGAAAGGCUUUUUUUGGAUGGAAAAACUAUGACUUCAUAGUUUUUGUUAGUAGAAACCUAAUUCGUUAAAAUUCCGUCCAGUAAAACAGAAGAAUUAUAAAUUUCUAAAAUGAUAGAUAGGAAUAUCGCGAAUAAAGCCAUUGCGACCCCCAUAAAAGGAGUAGUCCCCCAACCCGGAGCUACUUUCCCAUAUUCCGAAUUCAAGGGUUUCAAUAAACUACCUGCGCCAGUCCGUUUUGGCUUAGGUCUAGAACUAUCUUCAACGGUUUGUGUAGCCAUAAAUUCUAUUUAAUCAUUGGUGUUGACUUUGUAUACUAUUCCGUUGUAGUUGUAAAUACACGAUCUUUUCCUAGAUCCAUUGUAAUCUUGAAAUUCUAUAAAAAUGGAAACAGCAACUUUAGUCGCCAUCUCCAUAUCUGGUUUACUUGUAAGCUUUACUGGGUAUGCCUUAUAUACCGCGUUUGGGCAACCCUCUCAACAAUUAAGAGAUCCAUUCGAAGAACAUGGGGACUAAUUGAAGUAAGAAGUCUCCCCUCUGGGGGACUUCUUACUUCAAUGAAAUUAUUUAUUUCCUUCAAUUAAAUUAUUUCAUUUUUUAGUCGGAACCUUAGGUGGUUCUCGGAAGAAGAUAGCGAAAAAAAUUAUCCCUAAAGUCGAAACUAAAAGGAACGUAUAAACCAAUGCUUCCAUAGAUUCGAUCCUGGUUUAUUUACAAUUAUAACUUCCACACCUAUUCACUUAUCAUUUGGGAGCAUUUCCCAUAUAAAAAAAGAAAAAGAGUCAAAGAAAGGACAGGAGAUGUUUCUCAUGUCAAAUCAAAAAAGAGAGGUGAAAGAUACCAUAGCAAUGUGGUAUCAGGCUGCCUGUCUCUUUGUAGUUGGAUCUCCAACUUUUUGGAAUGUUCCAAAUUCAACUUGAGCAUCCAAGUCUGGAUCAAUACCAGCAAAAACAUCUCGGAACAAGGUUCGAGCGCCAUGCCAAAUGUGUCCGAAAAAGAAGAGCAAAGCAAAGGUAGCAUGACCAAAAGUGAACCAACCCCUUGGACUGCUGCGAAAAACACCAUCUGAUUUCAAAGUAGCUCGAUCUAAUUCAAAAAUUUCCCCUAAUUGAGCACGCCGCGCAUAUUUUUUUACAGUAGCAGGAUCAGAAUAACUUACUCCAUUAAGUUCGCCACCAUAGAACUCCACCGUUACCCCUACUUGUUCAACACUAUAUUUGGAUUCUGCUCUUCUAAAAGGAACGUCCGCUCUCACAAUUCCCUCUUCAUCUACCAAAACUACCGGAAAUGUUUCAAAAAAAGUAGGCAUACGACGUACAAAAAGCUCGCGUCCUUCUUUAUCUCUAAAGACGGGAUGUCCUAACCAUCCAACAGCUAUUCCAUCCCCAUUGUCCAUUGAGCCUGCUCUGAAUAAUCCCCCCUUUGCCGGAUUAUUACCAAUAUAAUCAUAAAAGGCUAAUUUUUCGGGAAUUUUAGACCAAGCUUCUGACAAACUAAGAUUUUCGGCUAACCCAUCGCUAACUCUUCGAUAUAUUUCUUGCUGAAAGUAUCCCUGAUCCCACUGAUAACGAGUAGGCCCAAAUAAUUCGAUUGGGGUAGUUGCCGAUCCAUACCACAUAGUUCCGGCAACUACGAAAGCAGCAAAAAAAACAGCAGCGAUACUACUGGAAAGUACAGUUUCAAUAUUGCCCAUACGUAAUCCUUUGUAUAGACGUUGCGGCGGACGGACACUAAGAUGGAAUAGGCCCGCUAAUAUGCCCAAUGUACCCGCAGCAAUAUGAUGCGAAGCUAUUCCUCCCGGAACGAAAGGAUCAAAACCUUCUGCACCCCACGCAGGAUUUACAGCUUGUACUUUUCCAGUUAGUCCGUAAGGAUCGGACACCCAUAUCCCAGGGCCAUAUAAACCCGUUACAUGAAAUGCACCAAAGCCAAAACAAGCCACCCCUGCAAGAAAUAAAUGAAUUCCAAAGAUCUUGGGCAAAUCCAAAGAAGGUUUUCCCGUCCGCUCAUCACAGAAUAUUUCUAGGUCCCAAUAUACCCAAUGCCAGAUAGCUGCCAAGAAACACAAGCCAGAAAACACAAUAUGCGCACCUGCUACACCUUCAUAACUCCAAAUACCCGGAUUCGUUACAGUUCCUCCUGAAAUACUCCAACCACCCCACGAAUUGGUUAUUCCUAAACGAGUCAUGAAGGGGAUGACGAACAUACCUUGUCUCCACAUUGGAUCCAGAACAGGAUCAGAGGGAUCAAAAACCGCUAAUUCGUAUAAAGCCAUCGAGCCAGCCCAACCAGAAACUAGAGCUGUGUGCAUUAUAUGCACCGAAAGCAAUCGACCCGGAUCAUUCAAUACGACAGUAUGAACACGAUACCAAGGCAAACCCAUGGAAAUACCCCUUUAGCAAAGAAAAAUAGACACGAUGUCGCUUUAUUUUAUCGCAUUGGAAAAAACUAUCCCUAUGUACCUAACCCUUCCAGGGGAUUCUAUGUCAGAAAGCGUAAAUAUUUAUUUCAUUCCAUUAAAAAUAACAAGCCAAUUCUGUUUGUAAGAAGAAAGAGAAGCAGAUCUAUUCUAUACUCGAUAAGUGCCAAUAUGCAAUGGGUAGCUUGGGCUAUUUGGGAAAACUAAGAAUAGAUCCUUAAUCCCUCUUUGUUUAUCAUUCGAAUCACGGAUUCCUUUUUCUUUAUUCAAUCUGUCUUACCUUCCUUAUAUGUAUAAUCUUUCAAUCUAUGUAUUAAUAGAAUCUAUAGUAUUCUUAUAGAAUAAGAAAAAAAUGAAGAUAAUAAACUCUGGAUUCUUUCUUUCUCUUCCAUUCUUACGUUUCCAUAUUAAAGUGUAGUUUUCUUACUUAAAUUUAAUAAUAUUAAUCUAAUAUGCCCAUUGGUGUUCCAAAAGUACCUUACCGGAUUCCCGGAGAUGAAGAAGCGACUUGGGUUGACUUAUACAAUGUUAUGUAUCGAGAAAGGACACUUUUUUUAGGUCAAGAGAUUCGUUGCGAGAUCACGAAUCAUAUUACGGGUCUGAUGGUAUAUCUCAGUAUAGAAGAUGGAAUUAGCGAUAUUUUUUUGUUUAUAAACUCCCCUGGCGGGUGGCUAAUCUCAGGAAUGGCGAUUUUUGAUACGAUGCAAACGGUGACACCUGAUAUAUAUACAAUAUGCCUCGGAAUAGCCGCCUCCAUGGCCUCCUUCAUUCUGCUUGGAGGAGAACCCACCAAGCGUAUAGCAUUCCCUCACGCUAGGAUUAUGCUUCACCAACCUGCUAGUGCUUAUUAUCGGGCAAGGACACCAGAAUUUUUACUAGAAGUGGAAGAGUUACACAAAGUUCGCGAAAUGAUCACAAGGGUUUAUGCACUAAGAACAGGCAAGCCUUUUUGGGUUGUAUCCGAAGACAUGGAAAGGGAUGUUUUUAUGUCAGCAGACGAAGCCAAAGCUUAUGGACUUGUCGAUAUUGUAGGGGAUGAAAUGAUUGACGAGCACUGCGAUACUGAUCCAGUGUGGUUUCCAGAAAUGUUUAAGGAUUGGUAGUGGCUGGAUUUCUUGUAAAUUUAUUUCAAACCUAAAUUCGGAUUUUAUGCUAUUUUAUAGAAAAUAGAAAUACUUCAUGAUGAUGAAUCAUCAGGUUAAGAUCGAUCUAAACCAAUCCAUUUUUUCUAUAUACAUACGACAUGCCAACGGUUAAACAACUUAUUAGAAAUGCAAGACAGCCAAUACGAAAUGCUAGAAAAUCGGCCGCGCUUAAGGGAUGUCCUCAGCGUCGAGGAACAUGUGCUAGGGUGUAUGUGCGACUCGUUCAGAUCAUGAGUUCAAACAAAUAAGAAAAUUUUUGAAGUAUCCAUGAUCGGUACCAAUGAAUCGGAUAGAGCUUCUCUAUCCUAGAUUUCUAUGGUAUAUGGAAUUUAUGGUUUCCUUUGGUGCAAAUUCAAUCAUCUAGAUUGGAAUUGCAAGAAGCAAUUCCUCCAUUGGUAGCAAAUGGUUAUCCAUUAAGCGGAGGAAAUAGUAAUAAAAAGAAAAAGGUUUCUGCUCCUUUAUCUUAAAAGAACGGACUAAAGGGCCAGCUACUUAGUCAACUUUCAUAAUUAAAUACCGUCACUGUAUGAAUAACUCUUAUUGUGAAAAGAGCUAUUUACUCUAUAAUGGAUAGGUAGAGCCAAAGAAUGUGAACUAUACAAGUUCACAAUACCUUUUGAUGAAAUGAAAGAAAGGGCUCCGGUGUAUAGAGAGGGCCUCGCCGUUUAAAAGGGAACCAUAGAAACGAUGGAACCCACUGUUUUUUUAAUAUCGUUAGAAUUUGUUAUUUCUAUGCGAAAUAAGUGAAGAGAAUAGAAUAAAAAAUCGUGGUUGGGAAGGUUAUAGUAGCAAAAGCCAUUGGAAUUAAUAUUUUAUAUAUCGGAAUAAUUCGUUUUGUUAUUAAUGGGAAAAAAGAGGGUUAAAAAGAAGAGAAAUCAUUAGUUAUUCAUUAAGGUUAAUUUGAUUCAAUGACCAGAGUUCCGCGAGGAUAUAUAGCUCGAAGACGACGAACAAAAAUGCGUUCAUUUGCCUCAAACUUUAGAGGGGCUCAUUUAAGACUUAAUCGAAUGAUUACUCAACAAGUAAGAAGAGCUUUUGUUUCUUCUCAUCGAGAUAGAGGCAGGCAAAAGAGGGAUUUUCGUCGUUUGUGGAUCACUCGGAUAAACGCAGCAACACGGGUAUAUAACGUAUUCGAUAGUUAUAGUAAAUUAAUACACAAUCUGUACAAGAAGGAAUUGAUUCUUAAUCGUAAAAUGCUUGCACAAGUAGCUGUAUCAAAUCCAAAUAAUCUUUACACGAUUUCCAAUAAAAUAAAGACCAUCAAUUAAAGGGAUAAAAAAGUAAUAUACAGGAAUAAUUAAAAACGAAUUCCCGGAGAGGGAACUCCGGGAAGAUACAAUAAAUUAAGAUUAAGUGGUAGGAAUCAACGAGCAUGUUGCAAUAAAUAAAAAAACUAUUUCUUUUUUCCCAUUUUUCUUUCUUAUAACAAACACAAGAAUCAAAACUGGAUUACUUUCUUUAUAUAUGAGUCUGACCCUUUCGAAUAAAACAUCAACAAUCGGAACUUAAGUUUCGAUUGUUGUUUCUUAAAUUCUGGUUGGAGUUUCUUAAGUUUCGAUUGGAAUUGAACUUUUGUGUUAAUUGAGGAAUAUGUCUAUUUUUUCUGUGUCUAGGACCAGUAAUUAUUGAAAUUGACUGGGCUUGAAAUUGCUUCUCAUUCUCAUAGUUACGAAAUGGUAAGAAAGAUAAAAUACGAGCCUGUUUUAUAGCAAGAGUAAUUAAUCGUUGUUGUUUCAAGGUUAAUCUAUUUAUUCGUCUGGAUAAUAUUUUUCCUUGUUCACUAAUAAAUCGAUUAAUUAAACUCAUGUUUCUAUAAUCAAUUCGAUCCCCCGGGCCUAUUCGAGAACGCCUACGAAAAGGUUGUUUGGAUUUACGAAAAGGUUGUUUGAAUUUACGAAAAGGUUGCUUUGAUUUAUGAAAAGUUUGUUUGGAUUUACGAAAGGGUUGCUUAAAUUUAUGAAAAGGUUGUUUAGAUAUAUACAUGAUUUAUUCCUUAUUUAAAAAUUUGAAAAAAAAAAUGGAUUUCUUUAUUUUAUUAAUUUUGGAUCCAGAAGAAGUAGUCUUUCUUUGGUCCAUAUAUUAUUUAAUUCAUAUACUAUAUAUAAAAAUAAAAAUAUAAACCCUCUAUACAAUACAUAUGAAAUAAUAUCUACCUAAAAUCAGAUGAGUUGAUUUGUAUUUUGUGUUCCAUCUAUGUUCUAUAUAUUUAAUAAGAAGUUCUUACUCUUUCUGUUCUUUGGAAAAAUUGAACACACGAUGCUCCUAUUUCUUUAUUUCAUUAUGAGUCGUAUGCUUGCGACAAUAACGACAAAAUUUUCUUAAUUCUAAUUGUCCGGGUGUAUUGUGGCGAUUCUUUUGAGUACUAUAUCUAGAAAUCCCCGUCGAUUCCUUAUUGGUACCCUUUCGAACACAAUUAAUACAUUCCAAAAUAACUCGGAUUCUAACAUCUUUGCCCUUGGCCAUGAACCUCCUUUCCUUUUUGGAUCGACUUAACUUAAUUCUUAUACCUAUUCUUUUAUUCUUCUAUUUUGGAUCCAAAGAAGAAGAAUAAAAUCCAUAGAAGCUCCUAACUAAAAAUGCGAUUUCUAAAGAUUUUGUUGUAAUUCUUCGAAUUCUCUAACGAAUCCAAUAGAAUAAAAAAAUUUUGAAAUUCGUAAAUUAAGUAAUAAAAAAUAGAGAAAUAAUUAAAGAAUACAAUCCUUAUCCAUCUUUUCUUUCUUUUUGCUUCAUAUACUAAAAAAGAAUUCAAAAAGGGAAAAUUUUCGUCAUGUCAUGUCACGAAGAAUUCUAUCUCUCGCAUAGGAAUAACUAGAAUUAAACUCUCGCAUAGGAAUAACUAGAAUUAAAAAAAAGGGAAUGACAAAGCAUCUGGGAAUAAACGAUUGAUUUCUAUCAAUAAACCUGCUAAAGCCCCAAACCAUAGAGUACUUAGCACGGGUGCUACAGAGAGAUAUGUUUUUAUAUCCCGCAUUGAAAAUCCUCCUUCCGUAUUGGAAUACAUAUAUGAUCAGAUACUCUUGCCCAAGAUCCUUUGUAUUUCUUUUGUUUAGGCGAAAUUCCUAACUAAAAAAACAAAAUCAAUAUUCUAUAUAUAUAGAAUGAUUCAUAAUAGACGAGAUUUUCCUAUCCCUAAAAAAGAUGACCCCUUCUUCCUAUACAUUACUAAGGAAUAGGAAUCGUUCUUUUCUAGGUGAAAUUCGACUGGAUUUUAGAUGUAUACCCUUCCCUUCCUUGAUUAUAUGAGACCAAAAACAAGAAAUGACAAGAAAGUUCUAUAUAGAUAGAGAAAUAGAAGAAAAUUACGAUGUGGAAAACAAGAAAGGAAUUAUGUACAAUCCCCUUGUAGAACAAUUUGGAAAAGGGAUGUAGCGCAGCUUGGUAGCGCGUUUGUUUUGGGUACAAAAUGUCACAGGUUCAAAUCCUGUCAUCCCUACCUAUUAAUUCUCUCUUCUUUAUGGGCAGUAGUGGGGAGAUCAAUUAAAGUGGGUAUAACUUGAAUUUGUGGAUACUAUACGGACGUGAGACACGUUAGGAGUAGAAAAGGAUUUGCUUUUUGUUUUGAGAGCGCUCUUAGUUCAGUUUGGUAGAACGCGGGUCUCCAAAACCCGAUGUCGUAGGUUCAAAUCCUACAGAGCGUGAUUCCAUAUAUCUUAUGUCAAAACAGAGUAAAAUAACUUAAAAAAACAAAGUAGAAUUGCAAUUCCAAUUUGACCUCCUCCAGACCAGAGAAGAGAGGAGGUCAAUCAAAAAAGAAAUAUUACUCAAUCAAAGAUCCAACUGAUCCCCACGCCUGUAUUGCAAAUACGCAGUCACGAAUAAUCCCGCUAAAGUAAUAGGAAUUAGGCCUAAGACGAUUCCAAAUAGAAAAACUUCAAUCAUUUCGAUUUGUUCGAGGGGAUAAAAAAAAAAGAGGUACGAUCUAUCUCUAAAUAAUAGUCUAAAUUAUCCACGAAUCUCAAUGACCAAGAAAAGAAUUGAUAAUUAGUGUGGAAAAGAGUCUAGAAUACCAGGAAUCCAAAAGAAAGAUUAUUCUUUUCUGACUUAUUCAUUCAAUUCAUUUCAAAUAAGACGUAUCUUGUUCAAGCCAAUAAAUAGAGCUGGGGUUAUAGUUAAAGCAGCCAGUAGAAAACCGAAAUAACUAGUUAUAGUAAGCAUGAAGGGGUUAAAUUCCAUUUAUUUUUUUACUACACUACAUAUGUUGGUAAAGCACUUACCUAAGUUAUGGAAAAUUCAUAAUUCAUCGGUUAUUUUAGAUAAUACUAAAAAACAAGAUAGAGUGAGAUACAAAAGUGUAAAAGAAAAUCGAUUCAUCAGACGGGACAUGAGUCCCUAAUGCCGAAUCAAGAGAUUUGUUGUGGAAUUUGUCAGUAAAGUAAUAAUAUUAAAAACUAGAUCAUCUAACCCCAUUGAAAAAUAAAAUUGGGUUUUCGGGGAAAUUUUGGAAAAAAAGAUUAAUAAAGAAUUUAAUUUGAAAAAAGUUCUUUCUAUUUCGGAUUAUUUCUUUUUCAAUAGGAUGGAUUUCAUCCUUUUUUUGGAACAAACGGUCAAAUAUUCCCCUAUUCCUUCUUAUCAAAUAUUCCCCUAUUCCUUCUUAUUUUAACUCAUUGUAUUCCAUAUGGAAUAAGAGGAGAAGAAAAGCAUUCCACGACCCCCGAAGGGCCCCCUGAAAAAGGGAACUCUUCCUUGAAUUUACUUUUUUUUAUUUAUUUUUAUUCGUUUUUUGAACCCCAACCAAAGUUGAUUCGAAGUUACUUCAAUUAUCCUUUUCUUUUAAGUUCUUUUCGUAAAGUUCCAUGCUUGCAGUUUGGUCAAGAAAGUUAGACUUAAUCCAACAAACAAGACAAGGAUUGAUUACGAAUCUUGAUUCUUCAAAGAAUCUAUUCUGUUUCUUUCAUAACGGAUUAUCUACUAUUCGAUUUUCUAUUUAUUAGAUAUUAUUUUAUGCUAACCAAUUUCAUUCCUUAAAGGGAAAGGUUGGAUUCGAAUGAAACUUUUAUUUAACUAAAAAAAGGGAUAGAUUUUGCAUAUACUUAUCCUUGUAUUGCGUCAAUAUGAGAAUAUCCUUUCUAAAUUCUUUAUCUUAUUGAUCAUUAACUUAGGUUUUCCCAAGAUCUUGGCCGCUAUUAGAAAUGAAAUUAUUCUACUAUUCCGAAGACAAUGAAAAUAAGUAGGACUCCAAAAAUUGUGGGGUUCUAUUGCUGCCUUGAAUAACAUGUAAUUUCCCUAUAGACAAGGAACAAAGAAGAGAAAAAAGGAAUUCUGUUUCGGGACCAAGCAAAACUGGAUUGCUGUGCCAUAGGAAGGAUAGCUAUACUAAUUCGGUAUACUCAAAAUACACCUUUGGUACAAAAUUGACAAUCUCACAAGGAUGAAAUAUCAGUAAUUUUCUAUUUACUGGUCGAUCCCAUCUUUUACGGAAUCAAUUCCUUUUUUGAAUGUACAAAAAUUUGAGGAGCUCAGCAUGUCUGGAAGCACGGGAGAACGUUCUUUUGCUGAUAUUAUUACCAGUAUUCGAUAUUGGGUUAUUCAUAGCAUUACUAUACCUUCCCUAUUCAUUGCGGGUUGGUUAUUUGUCAGUACGGGUUUAGCUUAUGACGUGUUUGGAAGUCCUCGACCAAACGAGUAUUUCACGGAAAGCCGACAAGGAAUUCCAUUAAUAACCGACCGUUUUGAUUCUUUAGAACAACUAGAUGAAUUUAGUAGAUCCUUUUAGGAGGCCCCCAAUGACCAUAGAUCGAACCUAUCCUAUUUUUACAGUGCGAUGGCUGGCUGUUCACGGAUUAGCUGUACCCACGGUUUUUUUCUUGGGAUCAAUAUCAGCAAUGCAGUUCAUCCAACGAUAAACCAAAUUCCAACUAUAGAACUAUGACACAAUCAAACCCGAAUGAACAAAAUGUUGAAUUGAAUCGUACCAGUCUAUACUGGGGUUUAUUACUCAUUUUUGUACUUGCUGUUUUAUUUUCCAAUUAUUUCUUCAAUUGAGAGAAAGAAAGAGAGUAGUAAUAAUUCUCUUAUCCCAUUUGGAAGGAUACCAUCCUUAUAACUAUCCAUGACUGUUUUUGUCUCUAGCAUGACCACUUGAGAAAAUGUGGAGGAAAGUAGGGGAAAUGGCCGAUACUACUGGAAGAAUUCCUCUUUGGCUGAUAGGUACUGUAACUGGUAUUCUUGUGAUUGGUUUAAUAGGUGUUUUCUUUUACGGUUCGUAUUCUGGAUUGGGUUCAUCUCUAUAGUAAUCGGAGGAUCCAGAUUGUAAACAUGAAAAAGUAGGAGCUUAGCGGGUCCUUACCCCCCUUUAUCUGAUUAGAGCGGAAAGGGCCCGCAGAAUUCUUAUAACGCGAUUUUAUUCCAUAAUCUAGAAAUUGGUUACCUAAUUUCUAUUUGUAAAAAUAACAAAGAGAAAACCUUUGCUCUGAUGGUUAGAAUCCCUCUAUUUAUUCUUUUGUUUGUUAAUGAUGUUAGUGAAGCAAUCCAUCGGUCCAUUUAAAGCCCUCGCCUUUCACCCAUAAAAUGGAUUCACUCUUAUGAAGCAACAAGAAAGAGGGGAGAGGAUCCAGUAUUUUAUUCCAUGAAGGAAGUAUCCUGCAAAUCAUUGAUUUAGUUUCGAGUAAUAAACUAAUAAAACCUUAAUCAAAACUACUCAACUAGCCUAAACCACCCUUAAAUGGGAGGGUAUACAUUUUUUUUUACCAAAUUUCUGUAAGUUCGAAGUUGAACUUAAUUGAAAAAGUCAAGCAAUUCCAUUUGCUCAAAAUAAAUUUGUCCCCCGCCAUACUUUCUUUCCCUCUGUUUGUCCACUACCGCGCCCGAACCUAAACAAAGGAAGUCCAAAAGAUAGACCCGAAUAAAGAAUAACUAGUAAUCUUUGACAAAACAAAUAAGAAGAAAAAUGAUUCUUACUUCGAUACAAGAAAAGAAGAAUCGACACAAGAAAAAGGCAAAAAAGCCUUUUUCUUGUGCCCAAUAGAGGAUUAAGAAGACCCGCAAUUCCUCCUAAAAGGACUUGUUCCUUUUAUUGUUCUCGCCUCUGCCUUGGAUCCUCUUCUUUUGCAUGAGAUAGAAAUAAGGAAUUCCAGAAAUCGAGGCUUUUUUCUAACUUGAUGGUAAGAAAUCCCAGGAUCUAGAAAUUCAUUUCGUACAAUUGAACCUUUUCAAACUGUUUCUUUUUGAGAACCAAAAAAACUUGUGCCAAAAUAACAGAUGCGAAGAAGAACAAAAGGCCUUGGACGCGCAAUGGAUCCUGAAGCACUAUUUCUGCAUCCCCCUGACCAAACCCUCCGACAUUAGGAUUGCUUGUUAAUGGUUGAUCAAGCUUGAUCGAUUCCCCCUCUGAAACUAGAAGUUCUGGCCCGGGAGGUAUAAUAUCAAUCACUUGGCGUCCAUCCGACGCAUCGACUAUGGAUAUUUCAUAUCCCCCCUUUUCUUUACGUAGUAUUUUUUUUACUAUACCUGUUGACGUAGCAUUAUAGACCGUAUUGUUACUCUUGCUACCAUCAGGAUAGAUCUGUCCCCUUCCUCGGUUUCCCCCUACAUAUAUGGGAUAUUUUAAGAAAUGAACGUCUUUUUUCGUAGCAGGAUCGGGGGAAAGAAUAGGAAAGACAAUUUCACUAUAUUUCUUACCGGGAACAGGGCCUAUCACAAGAAUAUUUUUUUUAUUGGGACGAUAACUCUAAAAAGAGAGAUUUCCUAUCUUUUCUUUCAACUCAGGAGAAAUACGGUCAGGCGGCGCUAAUUCGAAUCCCUCGGGCAAAAUAAGAACAGCACCCACAUUCAACCCUCCCUUUUUACCAUUAGCAAGAACUUGUUUCAGCUGCAUAUCAUAAGGGAUUCGAAGAACUGCUUCAAAUACAGUAUCAGGAAGCACUGCUUGGGGAACCUCAAUAUCCACGGGCUUAUUAGCUAAAUGGCAAUUGGCACAUACAAUUCGUCCAGUUGCUUCCCGUGGGUUUUCAUAACCCUGCUGCGCAAAAAUGGGAUAUGCAUUUGAAAUAGAUGUGCGAGUUAUUACGUAUAUCAUGAUCGAUACGGAAAUCGAUCGAAUCAUCUGUUCCUUUAACCAAGAAAAAGUAUUUCUAUUUUCCAUGUCCAAUCGCGGAUCCCGGAAUUUCUACAAUAAAUUAGAUAGGUAGCUAAGCUAAUCUAGUUCCCUAUACACGAGUCUGUUGUCAUUCUACUGCAACAGUUGUACUGGAAUGAUGAAUACCUUGAGCAGGUAGAAAUAGAAAGAAUUUUGCUAAAAAGGAAAAGGCUUUCUUUCUAAAGGAAGAAAUAUGCUAAUUUGAUUAAUAUUAGGAAAAAUAUUAGGAAAUCAAAUGAGUGAGUUUAUGCUUCACUAAUCGAAUGAUAAAUGACUACAAGUGAAGGAGAUAGACGGUUUAAACAAAAAAAGACCCAAAAUUUCAAACACGUGUCUAGAAUAACAGGAAAACUACAAACAAAAAUAGUGAAAAUUAGCUCGUUAGGAGCCCAUCCAAAAUUGUUGUAGACCCAACGAAUUAGUAGUUCCCAACCGCGGGUGGAGUGAAAUCCAACAAAAAAAUCAGUAACUAAAAGAAUAAAAAAAGCUUUUAUUGAGUCAUUUAAGUUAUAGAAAAAUUCCUGAACCCAAGAAUUCAAAAUGACAAGUUCUUCUUUACCCAGAAAAAAAGAACCACUUAGAAUAGCCAAACAGAUUAUAUUUGUUGAGAAAUGCAAAAUGGUAUGGAGAUGAUCCUCAUUAUCUAUUUUGGCCAAUUGUAUUAUUUCCUUGUGUAUUCCUAUAGGAGGUUUUUGUACAUGUGUCUUCGGUUUCUCUUUUAUCAUUUCGUCCAAGAGAAAAAGUUCUUCUAAUUCUAUGAAUCCUUCUAGAAUCCUUUUCUCUUGAAUAUCAGUUAAGAAAGUUUCGGAUUGCCUGGUAUUCCACCAAUUCUUAAUCCAAAGUUCCAGGCAUUUGUUAAAAGAGAAAGAGAUUCCCCAGGGCAAAAGUACGAUAAAUACAAGAUAUAGGAAAGAAGGCAAUGCUUUCUUUUUUUUCAUUUUUGAUCUGUAAAUUGAGUUGUUAAUGAAUCCGCUUCAUUCGCCGACUCUAUUUCAUUCGCUGAAUAUAUAUGAUAUUUCUUUUCUUUGAAACACAAAUUCUAUAACAAGGUUUGAGACCUUGUGUUUGUAUCUAUUUAUCUUUUUGUAUACUAGUGGAAUUUCAUUGUAUUGGGUUCUUUCUUAGAUCUAAAUGGAGUGGAAUAGAGAAAUAAAAAAAAGGCCUUUCAUAUAAAAAUGGAAGAAUAUUAUGCCAUAUAUCUCACUUGGAUAAAACAAAUUAGAAGCAAUUUUCUCUUAUUCUCGUUUGUUCCUUCCUUUAGAUAAAUACUCGAAAAUCCCUUACAAUUGCAAAAAAUUGCAAUUGGUACUCAAAAUACUUCAAUUGGUACACGCAAGAAAUAGGCCAAUUCGGCAGCUUUUUGUUCAAUUUCUCGUGGAGUAAAAAACUUCUCAUCAGUACGAGUCAAGGGAAUGACCCCCUGGCCCCGGAUUUCCAUAUAAAGGAUACGACGAGGAUAAAGACCCUCUUUAACCUGAAUCCUAAUUGAUUGGAUAUCCCGCACAAGGAAUCGAAGGAAGAUGCGACGUUUUAUUCCAGGGAAUCCCCAACGAAAAAUGCACACUAUUCCCUCUUUUCUAUCGAAUCGGUCAUAACCACUGCCUACAUUCCACAAAAUAGUGCACCACAAAUAGGAGCUAAUGAAUAGGCCCGCGAUUCCGUAGAAAGACAUCACGACCCCCUGUGGAAAAAAAAGAAUUUGUUGAGAUGGAAGUACGGAUAUCAUAUUCUUACCAAGAUAACUGGAAGCCCCAACCGCUAAGAAUCCUAAUGAACCUAGAAAAAGAAUACAGGCCCAGAAAAAAUUACCUCUUUUUCGAGAACCUUUUAGAAGUUCUAUCCAUAUGUGUUCUGAUCGCCAAUUCAUAUUAGAUAUACUAAAUCCAGUAGCGGUCAAUUGAAAUUGAGAG
Molecule: long non-coding RNA, 26824 nt
Filed under: Setaria viridis
Lineage: Eukaryota; Viridiplantae; Streptophyta; Magnoliopsida; Poales; Poaceae
Source: RNAcentral